AGUGAACGCUGGCGGUAGGCCUAACACAUGCAAGUCGAACGGCAGCACAGUAAGAGCUUGCUCUUACGGGUGGUGAGUGGCGGACGGGUGAGGAAUACAUCGGAAUCUACUUUUUCGUGGGGGAUAACGUAGGGAAACUUACGCUAAUACCGCAUACGACCUACGGGUGAAAGCAGGGGAUCUUCGGACCUUGCGCGAUUGAAUGAGCCGAUGUCGGAUUAGCUAGUUGGCGGGGUAAAGGCCCACCAAGGCGACGAUCCGUAGCUGGUCUGAGAGGAUGAUCAGCCACACUGGAACUGAGACACGGUCCAGACUCCUACGGGAGGCAGCAGUGGGGAAUAUUGGACAAUGGGCGCAAGCCUGAUCCAGCCAUACCGCGUGGGUGAAGAAGGCCUUCGGGUUGUAAAGCCCUUUUGUUGGGAAAGAAAAGCAGCAGGUUAAUACCCCGCUGUUCUGACGGUACCCAAAGAAUAAGCACCGGCUAACUUCGU
Molecule: ribosomal RNA, 491 nt
Filed under: uncultured bacterium
Lineage: Bacteria
Description: partial 16S ribosomal RNA
Rfam family: Bacterial small subunit ribosomal RNA
Source: RNAcentral